UGCCAGACUCCUACGGGAGGCAGCAGUGGGGGAUAUUGCACAAUGGAGGAAACUCUGAUGCAGCGACGCCGCGUGGGUGAAGGAGCGUUUCGGCGCGUAAAGCCCUAUCGGCAGGGAAGAAGGAGGACGGUACCUGACUAAGAAGCCCCGGCUAACUACGUGCCAGCAGCCGCGGUAAUACGUAGGGGGCAAGCGUUAUCCGGAUUUACUGGGUGUAAAGGGGGCGCAGACGGCAGCGCAAGCCAGGAGUGAAAGCCCGGGGCCCAACCCCGGGACUGCUCUUGGAACUGCGUGGCUGGAGUGCAGGAGAGGCAGGCGGAAUUCCUGGUGUAGCGGUGAAAUGCGUAGAUAUCCGGAGGAACACCGGUGGCGAAGGCGGCCUGCUGGACUGCAACUGACGCUGAGGCUCGAAAGCGUGGGGAGCAAACAGGAUUAGAUACCCCGGUA
This 447-nucleotide ribosomal RNA is filed under the name uncultured bacterium. RNAcentral describes it as "partial 16S ribosomal RNA". It matches the Rfam family "Bacterial small subunit ribosomal RNA", at positions 329 to 792 of the family's 1533-position model. The record is from RNAcentral.